Molecule: long non-coding RNA, 543 nt
Organism: Nicotiana attenuata
Lineage: Eukaryota; Viridiplantae; Streptophyta; Magnoliopsida; Solanales; Solanaceae
Exons: 3
Source: RefSeq, a predicted model, not a curated record
GCCCAUCACGUAAGCAGUGAACUGCUCUGAAGGCGUCCAACCUCGCGUCCAAAUUUGCUGAAUGAGAAGGACGCGCGCGAUGGAGAUGCGACGCAUCCUUUACGGCUUCAAUCUGCUGAAUGGCUUUACGGGCAAGGGUCGUUCUAUUAUUUGGGAGUUGGUUCUUAAGACUUAAGAGAUAGAGAAGGGAGUUCUCUACCAUUAAUACUUCUUCAAGAUUGUUGACAAAAAUCUCAAGAACACUUCAAGAACCUAAAUCUUGAAUUCUUCUAGGGUUUGACAAAAAGAUUGUGACUCGUCGGCAUUAUUUGAUCAUUUGGGGUAAGGUUGGAAGCAAUUUGAGGUACGUUGAAACUUAUUACCUUCGGAGCUUUUCUCCAAACUCAUAUCGAAUCACGAUUAAAUUGAGCUUCUAAAUGUGAGUCCUAUCCUGUGGGGACGAGCGAGAUGGGAUUGUACCAUUUCUUGUAUCAUAAAAUAUUUGAGUGCUAUGAAUAUUAUUUUCUUGAAAUGUUAUUCAAAUUUUGAAACUAGACAAAUGAG